RNAcentral lists this ribosomal RNA (1055 nucleotides) under Salmonella enterica subsp. enterica serovar Braenderup. Its description in RNAcentral is "bacterial LSU rRNA". It matches the Rfam family "Bacterial large subunit ribosomal RNA", at positions 114 to 1211 of the family's 2925-position model. Lineage: Bacteria; Pseudomonadati; Pseudomonadota; Gammaproteobacteria; Enterobacterales; Enterobacteriaceae. The record is from RNAcentral.
CCGAAUGGGGAAACCCAGUGUGACUCGUCACACUAUCAUUAACUGAAUCCAUAGGUUAAUGAGGCGAACCGGGGGAACUGAAACAUCUAAGUACCCCGAGGAAAAGAAAUCAACCGAGAUUCCCCCAGUAGCGGCGAGCGAACGGGGAGGAGCCCAGAGCCUGAAUCAGCAUGUGUGUUAGUGGAAGCGUCUGGAAAGGCGCGCGAUACAGGGUGACAGCCCCGUACACAAAAGCGCAUGUGCUGUGAGCUCGAUGAGUAGGGCGGGACACGUGGUAUCCUGUCUGAAUAUGGGGGGACCAUCCUCCAAGGCUAAAUACUCCUGACUGACCGAUAGUGAACCAGUACCGUGAGGGAAAGGCGAAAAGAACCCCGGCGAGGGGAGUGAAAAAGAACCUGAAACCGUGUACGUACAAGCAGUGGGAGCACCCUUUUGGGUGUGACUGCGUACCUUUUGUAUAAUGGGUCAGCGACUUAUAUUCUGUAGCAAGGUUAACCGCAUAGGGGAGCCGGAGGGAAACCGAGUCUUAAUUGGGCGUUAAGUUGCAGGGUAUAGACCCGAAACCCGGUGAUCUAGCCAUGGGCAGGUUGAAGGUUGGGUAACACUAACUGGAGGACCGAACCGACUAAUGUUGAAAAAUUAGCGGAUGACCUGUGGCUGGGGGUGAAAGGCCAAUCAAACCGGGAGAUAGCUGGUUCUCCCCGAAAGCUAUUUAGGUAGCGCCUCGUGAAUUCAUCUCCGGGGGUAGAGCACUGUUUCGGCUAGGGGGCCAUCCCGGCUUACCAACCCGAUGCAAACUGCGAAUACCGGAGAAUGUUAUCACGGGAGACACACGGCGGGUGCUAACGUCCGUCGUGAAGAGGGAAACAACCCAGACCGCCAGCUAAGGUCCCAAAGUCAUGGUUAAGUGGGAAACGAUGUGGGAAGGCCCAGACAGCCAGGAUGUUGGCUUAGAAGCAGCCAUCAUUUAAAGAAAGCGUAAUAGCUCACUGGUCGAGUCGGCCUGCGCGGAAGAUGUAACGGGGCUAAACCAUGCACCGAAGCUGCGGCAGCGA